RNAcentral lists this microRNA (21 nucleotides) under Arabidopsis lyrata. RNAcentral's name for it is "aly-miR839-5p". Its record names the gene aly-miR839-5p. Lineage: Eukaryota; Viridiplantae; Streptophyta; Magnoliopsida; Brassicales; Brassicaceae. The record is from miRBase by way of RNAcentral.
CACCAACCUCUCAUCGUUCCC